CCUACGGGUGGCAGCAGUGGGGAAUAUUGCGCAAUGGGCGAAAGCCUGACGCAGCGACGCCGCGUGAGGGAUGAAGGUCUUCGGAGCGUAAACCUCUGUCAGCAGGGAAGAACGGUCCAUGUGCUAAUCAGCAGUGAAUUGACGGUACCUGCAAAGGAAGCACCGGCUAACUCCGUGCCAGCAGCCGAGGUAAUACGGAGGGGUCGAGCGUUAAUCGGAAUUACUGGGCGUAAAGGGCACGUAGGCGGUAUGUCAAGUCAAGGGUGAAAUCCCCGCGCUCAACGUGGGAACUGCCUUUGAAACUGGCAAACUGGAGUGUGUGAGAGGAGAGUGGAAUUCCAGGUGUAGGAGUGAAAUCCGUAGAUAUCUGGAGGAACAUCAGUGGCGAAGGCGACUAGCUGGAACAUAACUGACGCUGAGGAGCGAAAGCGUGGGUAGCAAACAGGAUUAGAUACCCGUGUAGUC
RNAcentral lists this ribosomal RNA (465 nucleotides) under uncultured bacterium. RNAcentral's name for it is "partial 16S ribosomal RNA". It matches the Rfam family "Bacterial small subunit ribosomal RNA", at positions 338 to 795 of the family's 1533-position model. The record is from RNAcentral.